GGCCUCUUUCCUUUGAUUCUGCCCUAAUCCCACCAACUCCAUUGUCUUUGAUCCUCAUCCAUCCCCCACCGAGACAGACCUCGGUUGUAAAUCAGAACAAUAGCGGAGAACGAAGAGGAUCCAAGUAGAAAGCCCCCAUCGAAGACGAUCAUCUCUCUCUCUCCUCCUUCGGUUGUGUCAAGUGCUAUUAUAGAUAAAUAUAUUGGUGAAAGUGCUCGUCUCAUAAGGGAGAUGUUCGGAUAUGCCCGGGAUCAUCAGGUCAAGAUCAUGGCAACAAAUCGACCAGAUGUUCUGAUCCUGCACUUCUUCACCCAGGCAGAUUAGAUAAGGAAAAUAUAGAUUCCACUGCCAAAUGAACAAUCAAGAAUGAAAAUUUCAAAAAUUCACGCAGUUGGUAUUGCUAAACAUUGUGAGAUCGACAAUGAAGCAGUUGUUAAGCGUGCUGAAUGUUUUAAUGAAGUAGACCUUCUCAAUGUCUGCACUAAAGUUGGAAUGUCAGUAAUCUGUGCCGAGUGUGAUUACGUUAUCCAUGAGGAUUUUAUGAAGGCUUUUGAUGUUUUGAGGAAUUGCUGCUCUUUUAAGAUUAUUAUGGCUCAAUGAAAUGGAGAUAAUCUAGAAUUCCCGAGAGAUGGUUUUACGUGAACUAUGUGGAAAGUUUUCAAACUAUUUUCUACUUAAGGAGUUGCACAGUUAGGAGUCUUACAUGGGAUAGCAAGGAUUCAAGAGACUGUCAUUGUUGAUGGAUUUAUCUGAUUUUCUUGGAAUGGGGUUUCUCGGAAAGGGGUUCUGAUUUCUAUUUGCUAUAUUGGCCUUUAAAGUUUUGAACAUGCUAAUGUAUAUUUGUGCUUUGCAUGAUAAAUUGUCAAUUGGCUAGAGUAUGGAAAAUUGAAAUUCAUUGUUUGAUGCUUAGUUUUCUCUAGAGGGGUUUCAUAUCACCACAUAAAGUGCCCUCUGCUUUUAUUUUUGGUUUGAUCUAGUUUGACAAGUAAGACUGAAAUUAUUGGUUGUUUGAAAUUGCCUUUGGACGGACUUUGGAAUCUCUUAACUGUGGAAAUCGAUAUCUUUCAAUGUUGGGUUGUGUGUACUUGGUAUUUGGUUUUCCUAAGAGGGGUUUCCAUGUGGCCACACAAAAAAUGCUUUGUUUUGUGGAAAUUGCGUUCUUUCAGAAUUUGAUGGUUUUUACUGUGGAAACAAGUAUCUUUCAAAGGGGAUGUUAUUCAUAACCAAACAAGACAAAGCAUGAGUUUUCUGUAAUAUGUUUUGAUCUGUUUAUUGUUGCUGUUUCCAAAGGUUAUUCUUUUAAAGGGGACUCUUUUGAGCACCAGAUGAGCAUAUCCUCCCAAUCUGGUUUAUUCUAUGUAUUGCCGCCAUUUUCAUACAUCAGCUUGCAAUUAUCUUUGGCUGCCAAAUUGGGGGUUUCUUACCUUUAGAAAGAGGGUUUCAUGUCAAUGCAAUAGCAUGAUUUCACUAUUGUUUUCAAAAGUUCCAUGUCUCAUUUGUACUCCUUUAUUGUUUGUACUCCUGGUCUGUAGUUAUCAAUGAUUUAUAAUUUUGAAUAGACACUGACAAUAUAAUUAUUGACAAGCAUUUAUCAAUUAUGUUUGAUUCUGCCUUUUCUAUUAUAUGAUCUAGAUAUUUGUUUGUGUUUCUGCGAAUUUGCUGGUUGAACGUUGUGGUUUUUAUUAAUUUAGUUUUUGAAAGUAGUCUGGAAAUUGGAACUUGGCAUAUAUAUCUAUUUUCACAUAUGAGGUUUGAUUAAAUAUCUUUUAACCCAAUGUCCAGAACUGAUAGAACUUAAGAGGGGGCUUCUUCUAACUUCACAAAAUAUAGUCUCACUGUAACCUUUUUUUGUCAUGUGAUCUAUUAUGGCAACUAAAGCAGGAAUUAGUGUUAUGUCGAAAUUGUCUUCCAUCAAAAUUUGGUGGGUUUUUAUGUAUGGCAAUGAGUGUCUGUUGGUGGGACUGUAAUCCAUCGACGAGAGUGGUCGGAGGAAGUAUGGGCAACGACGAUGUUGGUGAACUGGGAGAGGCGACUAGUAGGGGAAGAAGCUCCGGAUUACUGUAUUGUUUCUUGAAACCCUAACCCUAAAGAUGUAAUGUGUUCCAUGGCAAGUUUUUAUGUGAAGAUUGAUGCUCUGAUUCUUAGUGAUGGUUGGCGUGUUUUCUAUUUUCAUUCUUUUGAUUAAUAUUUGUUUUAUUUUACUUCAUUAGGAAUGUUAGUUUGAUCCUCCUACUUAUGCAAAACUUGAUGAUCUGAUUUAAAUUAUCUGUGUGUGAUCCAUGCUAUCUGUUUGUUGCCAUGCGCACAAUAAAUUGCAUGUCAAGGAUAGGAUAAGGAGUGAAGGAGUGAAUCUAGUUGAAGAGGAAGAACAAAUCUCAAAGGUAUAUAGUUUGAGAGAAAGCCAGCAGUUCUUACACGCUAUCUUGGGAGACCUGGCCUGGUCCAGUACUUUCUCAAGGUACGAAAGGGAGAACAUUGCACUUUUGGCUUGGAAGACAAGUAUCCAAGAUUAAUAAUUAAUUUUAAAGCAUCUUUGUUGUUAUUCCAAUAUUAUUUUCUCUAGUUGUUGCCAUUUUUUUAUGAUAUCUAGUUUUGUAAAUCCAUGAUGUGAGUUUUGUAUAAAGGAAAAAAUUUAAAUAACCGUUCUCCUUAAGUUUGCGUAAUGUGUUCCAUGGCAAGUUUUUAUGUGAAGAUUGAUGCUUUGAUUCUUGGUGAUGGUUGGCGUGUUCUUUGUUUCCAUUCUCUUAAUUAAUUUUUGUUUUAUUUUACUUCAUUAGGAAUGUUGUGCAAAACUUGAUGCUCUGAUUUAAAUUAUCUGUGUGUGAUCCAUGCUAUUUGUUUGUUGCCAUGCGCACAAUAAAUUGCAUGUCAAGGAUAGGAUAAGGAGUGAAGGAGUGAAUCUAGUUGAAGAGGAAGAACAAAUCUCAAAGGUAUAUAGUUUGAGAGAAAGCCAGCAGUUCUUACACGAUAUCUUGGGAGACCUGGCCUGGUCCAGUACUUUCUCAAGAAGGAGUGAAUCUAGUUGAAGGGGAAGAACAAAUCUCAAAGGUAUUUAGUCGGAGAGAAAGUCAGCAGUUCUUGCACGCUAUCUUGGGAGACAUGGCCUGGUCUAGUACUUUCUCAAGUUGGUGGCGUAUGAGAGAGCAGUUGGUUUGAGGUCAUCAGAGUUUAUCUUCAGAGGAUGCCGCUAUUAGUAGGCAUUAACAGUUCAUAGAUACUAUAAAGAACUAAAUUUCUCAUGCGGAGAAGGCGUUGAGUGAUUUGCAUAUCAAAGGAGAGAAGCAUCCAUUUUGGUUAGUGCAAUUAGAAGAGGAAGAAAGGGAUGAUCUUGUGCAAUUAGAAGAGGAAGAAAGGGAUGAUCAGUUGGUUGCGUGAGUCUAAGGUUGGAAAACAUGUGAAGUAUGUGGAAGAGGUGUUACGAGCUCGAGUAGAGUUGCCAAAUGGUCAAAAGAUGACUUGUGCUCUUGAUGUGGAUUCUUGGAAGAUUUUAGUUGCUGAUGAUGUAGAUGCAAAACCUAUGCCAUGUAGUCGACCGUCUAGUCUUCGUGGUUUCAUAAGGAAUGUUGGAUCAGCAAUGAGAUUAAACUGGUUUAGGAACAGCUUCUCAAAAGUAAAGAGUGAACUGGAUCACCAGUCAAGACCAGGAGCCAUUGAUUUGAGAGGAAUUAGUCGGUUUGCACAGGUUAUGUGAUCUAUGAUGGCAAAUAUAUUCCUUGCCCAGGGGCAUCUGCAAAAGCAGAUCUACCUCUUUAUUCUUCGCCUGGAUUAGGCAGACUUUCAUAGCGCUAAUGUCAUUGUAGAAAAGUUUCCUGCCUAUGGUGCGAGGAGGCCAUUUUUUACCAUGUCAAGCAAGUUCCUACAGCCAUAGAAGGAACCCGGAUUUCUCAAGGGUUAAGACAAUUGUCAGAAUGGUGAAGAUAGUAAUGUACUGUCCUCCAAAAACGGGCCACUAAUUUCUUUUUCUGGCAGCCAAAGGUAUCAAGCUACCGCUACUCCACGUAAAAUGGAGAGGGUGAUUUUUGAGCUCUUCAGAAAAAUCCAAGCGCUGUUAUGUGAAGGAGCAGCCAUCAAGGAAGAGAAGAGAAUUGAUGCUACACAGCAAGGUCAAAGUGAGAGAGGGACUGUAGAUUCCCUUCUCAAGUUAUUGAGGAAGCACUCAGUUGAUCAGGACAGAAAGACUUCUGAAGAAGAUGAUGAUAUUGACCUGCUUGACAGAAGCAAUCCAUUUGAGGAUGAACAAUUUCCAAACUUCUUUGAUGCUAAUAAUAUCAACAAAGAAGUUAAUGCGCCAGAACCUGCUCCAAACUGCAGGCCAGCUUCAAAUUUCAGGCGGAGAUCUCCUGUUCCAAGGUGAAAUUUCAAUGCAGUAUUUGCAGCAGAUGAAGACAUCAACUCAGAAUGACCUGAUCGAGUGUUAAAACGGCUCUGAAUCAUUCAAGACCAGAUUCCAGAUUUGGGGGCUGCAGCAGGUGAACAGUGAAAGAAUGAGUGUUGGGUCUGCAGGUUCUGAUUUCCAGAUUGGCGGAUUUACGGUUCUGAUUUCCUUCAGGUAUGUUUGGAAUAAUUAUUUUAUUUUACAUCAUGCAUGUUAACAACAUAUCAGUUUCUUACUGUUAGAAGUAGAGAGAAUGAGAAAGUGGAACAAGUCUAUCUCUAGAACACCCAUUACAUGAGUGACCCUUUGGG
Dioscorea cayenensis subsp. rotundata (Guinea yam) is the source of this 4686-nucleotide long non-coding RNA. RefSeq lists it as uncharacterized. NCBI's taxonomy places the organism in Eukaryota, Viridiplantae, Streptophyta, Magnoliopsida, Dioscoreales, Dioscoreaceae. The transcript is spliced from 8 exons. The record is from RefSeq and is a predicted model, not a curated record.